Molecule: long non-coding RNA, 334 nt
Organism: Herpailurus yagouaroundi (jaguarundi)
Lineage: Eukaryota; Metazoa; Chordata; Mammalia; Carnivora; Felidae
Exons: 2
Source: RefSeq, a predicted model, not a curated record
GGGGGACCCUGGACACUAAAUCCUCUCUUAGAAAAUCGCAAGAGUGGAGAAACCUGUUGAGAUAUUAUAUCCUCUUCCCCAUCAGGAAAUGCAACAUCUGCGUGUGCUCUUAAGGGUUCUCUUUUUUAUUUCCUCAUCGCCACAGAUUUUCAUUUCUGGCUAAAAUGUCAGACACUAUAAACUUGCACGUACCUCUGAACUAACUUUGUGUAAGAUGAGACCAGGGGAGCUGAGGGGAAGUGCUUUUAAAAAACGGAAAGGUGGGAGGAAUUGAGAAGGGGAUGUAGACUAGUAUCAAAGUUUAGCCAUGACAAAUAAACACGGAGAUAAAUAA